Non-coding RNA from Corynebacterium lipophiloflavum DSM 44291, 64 nucleotides. Lineage: Bacteria; Bacillati; Actinomycetota; Actinomycetes; Mycobacteriales; Corynebacteriaceae. The record is from Rfam.
ACUCAGGCACGAUCCGCCUAACGAAUAGCCGCGCGGAACCGACCUGUAGUUCAAUCCUGAGGGA